This 804-nucleotide ribosomal RNA is filed under the name uncultured delta proteobacterium. Its description in RNAcentral is "bacterial SSU rRNA". It matches the Rfam family "Bacterial small subunit ribosomal RNA", at positions 51 to 885 of the family's 1533-position model. The record is from RNAcentral. Lineage: Bacteria; Deltaproteobacteria.
AUACAUGCAAGUCGAACGAGAAAGUCACUUCGGUGGCGAGUACAGUGGCGCACGGGUGAGUAACGCGUAGAUGAUCUACCCUUCAGUCUGGGACAACUCUUGGAAACGGGAGCUAAUACCGGAUAAAACCUUCGGGUUGAAAGAUUUAUCGCUGGGGGAUGAGUCUGCGUACCAUUAGCUUGUUGGUGGGGUAACGGCUUACCAAGGCGACGAUGGUUAGCGGGUCUGAGAGGACGAUCCGCCACACUGGAACUGAGACACGGUCCAGACUCCUACGGGAGGCAGCAGUAGGGAAUAUUGCGCAAUGGGGGCAACCCUGACGCAGCAAUGCCGCGUGAGUGAAGAAGGCCUUCGGGUCGUAAAGCUCUUUUAUGGGGGAAGAUGAUGACGGUACCCCAUGAAUAAGCACCGGCUAACUACGUGCCAGCAGCCGCGGUAAUACGUAGGGUGCGAGCGUUGUUCGGAAUUACUGGGCGUAAAGGGCGUGCAGGCGGAUUGGCAAGCCGGAGGUGAAAGCCCGGGGCUCAACCCCGGAGGGUCUUUCGGAACUGCCAGUCUUGAGAGGGUCAGGGGCCAGCGGAAUUCCUGGUGUAGAGGUGAAAUUCGUAGAGAUCAGGAGGAACACCGGCGGCGAAAGCGGCUGGCUGGGGCCACUCUGACGCUGAGGCGCGAAAGCGUGGGGAGCAAACAGGAUUAGAUACCCUGGUAGUCCACGCCGUAAACGAUGGGCACUAAGCGUCCGACGGGUUCGACCCUGUUGGGUGCUGCAGUUAACGCGUUAAGUGCCCCGCCUGGGGAGUACGG